This 84-nucleotide transfer RNA is filed under the name Planctomycetaceae bacterium. RNAcentral describes it as "tRNA-Leu". It matches the Rfam family "tRNA". Rfam says of the family: Transfer RNA (tRNA) molecules are approximately 80 nucleotides in length. Their secondary structure includes four short double-helical elements and three loops (D, anti-codon, and T loops). Lineage: Bacteria; Pseudomonadati; Planctomycetota; Planctomycetia; Planctomycetales; Planctomycetaceae. RNAcentral also lists the same sequence under 1 other name. The record is from RNAcentral.
GCCCAAGUGGCGAAAUGGCAGACGCGCCAGGUUGAGGGCCUGGUGGGGGUAUACCCCAUGGAGGUUCGAGUCCUCUCUUGGGCA